RNAcentral lists this long non-coding RNA (1296 nucleotides) under Marmota monax (woodchuck). The record is from RNAcentral. Lineage: Eukaryota; Metazoa; Chordata; Mammalia; Rodentia; Sciuridae.
CCAAAGUCCUGAGAUCUCAGACAACUCCAUCACUACCUUGCUGGAAAGAGGGUACAAAGAAGAAUAAGACACAUCCAUGUUCUCCAAACCUAAGUGUCAGCCUUGCUGGUAUAUGUGGUAUCAUUCUGGUAUAGGGAGGCAUGACCAUAGAAUCUGAGAUUCAGUUUUUCUUUAAUAGUAAUGUGAAUCAUUUGAUUUCAUACUUCCUAAAAUGAAACCUUUUUUUCCCACUUUCUACUCCUAUCAGGAAUAGCUUCCUUUAUUCAUAGAGCUCUUUAUACUUCUGGCCUCCCUUUCUACUGUAUUAGUCAGGUGGAGUUCUUCAGAGAACCCAAAUUAAUAAGGUGGAUGGAUGGAUGCAUGGAUUAAUGUAAGAGUAUGGAGGGAGUAAGGGAGAUUGUACUCAUUUUAAGGAACUAGCUCACAUGAUAAUGGGAGAUGGCAAGUCUGAAAUUUGUAGGACAGGCCAAUAGUCUAGAAACUCAGGCAAGAUUCACAUGUUAUCACGUUCUUUUCUGAUAAGGCCUCCCAUUAAUUUAAUAAGGCCCACUUUAUGGAGGGUAAUAUGCUUUAUUUAUUUAUUUUUAAUUUUUUAAUUAGUUGUUCAAAACAUUACAUAACCCUUGACAUAUCAUAUUUCAUACAUUUGAUUCAAGUGGGUUAUGAACUCCCAUUUUUACCCUGUAUACAGAUAGCAGAAUCACAUCGGUUAUACAUCCAUGUUUUUACAUACUGCCAUACUAGUGUAUGUUGUAUUCUGCUGCCUUUCCGAUCCUCUACUAUCCCUCCCUCCCCUCCCCUCCCAUCUUCUCUCUCUACCCCAUCUACUGUAAUUCAUUUCUCUCCCUUGUUUUUUUCCCUUUCCCCUCAUUUCUCUUAUAUGUAAUUUUGUAUAACAAUGAGGGUCUCUUUCCAUUUCCACGCAAUUUCCCUUCUCUCUCCCAAAUUGGUGAGGCCAAUUUGGAAAUAUCCUUUAUUGAAAAUCAGCUAAGUGUAAAUGUUAAUCAUAUCCACAGAGACUCUCAUGCAACAUCUAAAUUAGUAUUAGACUACACACCUGGGCGGGUAACCUUAGCCAAGUUGACACAUGAAAUCACCAUCACACCUACGUUGAACACUAAAUUUGUUGUCCAAAUUGAGAUUUUUUUUUGAGAAUAAGGAGUUAUAGAUUAUAAAUAAAUCAAUAUAAUUUUAUACAUAGACUAUUAUAUGAUUUUACUCAUUGACAAUUUUUAAUCAUUGUUGAACCUACAAAAUAGUCCUAUUAAAAAUUGUUCUAAAAAUGUUAAUAUUUAC